AUUGAACGCUGGCGGCAUGCCUUACACAUGCAAGUCGAACGGUAACAGGUCUUCUGAUGCUGACGAGUGGCGAACGGGGGUGUAAUACAUCUGAACGUGCCCGAUCGUGGGGGAUAACGAGGCGAAAGCUUUGCUAAUACCGCAUACGAUCUACGGAUGAAAGCGGGGGAUCUUCGGACCUCGCGCGGUCUGAGCGGCCGAUGGCAGAUUAGGUAGUUGGUGGGAUAAAAGCUUACCAAGCCGACGAUCUGUAGCUGGUCUGAGAGGAUGAUCAGCCACACUGGGACUGAGACACGGCCCAGACUCCUACGGGAGGCAGCAGUGGGGAAUUUUGGACAAUGGGCGAAAGCCUGAUCCAGCCAUGCCGCGUGCAGGAUGAAGGCCUUCGGGUUGUAAACUGCUUUUGUACGGAACGAAAAGCCUCUUUCUAAUAAAGAGGGGUCAUGACGGUACCGUAAGAAUAAGCACCGGCUAACUACGUG
This 482-nucleotide ribosomal RNA is filed under the name uncultured bacterium. RNAcentral describes it as "partial 16S ribosomal RNA". It matches the Rfam family "Bacterial small subunit ribosomal RNA", at positions 30 to 507 of the family's 1533-position model. The record is from RNAcentral.